AGUGUGUUUUCAUUCUGAGGACCCAGUGGCCUUCAGAAAAGAGCCUGGUGGAGCAAACUUAUUCUGCCUGUCAAGGGUCAUGCUUUGAAGGAAGAGCAGAUGUUUGUGGUCUGAUCUUCCUUCUUUCACCCGCCCUGUAGGCUCACUGCAGUUUUGAGCUGACUAACUCAGAAAAGCUGCCAGGUCUCUGAAGUAGGCAACCCACAGAAGCAGUGGAGUUCAGAAGAGGCCUGGUUUGCUGCUGAAUGGAAUCCAGCUUGUCCAAAGUCUUUGCCUCCAUCAGGUCAGAAUCCACUCUCUGCCCCUGUGUGACACAGGAUACCGAGCAAGAUGAACCUACGGUCUGACCCAGUAAAUGGCCAUUCUUAUAUUCUUAUUAAUUAGUCUGAGAAUUGCAGCAAUCUUGAAGAAAACUACUUGUAGUGGCAGGUGCAUCACUGACUAGGAGUUGAUUUUCUGUGGAAAUGCCCUCAAGGACAUUAGAGACUAUGGGCCCAGAGGAACCAAGCUGUUGUGAGACUUAAUUGCUCCAUCUUCAGCUGGUAUAAUGUGGAAACUGAGAGUACAUGCUGCCAGAAGCUUUCAGGCUAUUUCACAAGGAUACCUAUGUCUUUGGGAGGCCUGUUUUCUCUUCCUUUUCAAAGCUGGCAAAUUGCUUAGCUAAAAUGGUCAGGAGGAAGAAGAGAGAAGAAUUGUACUCAUCCUCAGUACCUAUAUUCAUGCUAAUGAUUCAUUGUCUGUGAAGAGAGACUGCAGCUGGAGAGCAGAAGUCUGCAGAAAUGGAGAAUGCCUUUAUCUUUUCUUCUGAAUCCUCUAUAGCAGAAUGAAAACAAAUGUCAAAAUCUUCAGAAUUGCCAUGAAAUGGGUUUUGUCAUUCUUCUCUAGUUCAUUGACAAUGAUGCACCAUAUUCUGGAUGGCUUUCCGGAGAUGUACAGCAGAGAUCGAUGGACCCCAAAAGUUUAUUUUUUCUGCUAAUAACGUGAUAAAAAAUAUUCACAGUCUGGAUUUUGCAGUUGUAAUCACUAAACGUUUCUAGCAACAUUUUGCCAAGUGGCAAUUUUGCAUAAAAAAUUCCAUCCAAAUUCUAGAAGUGAUGUAUGGUUUGAUCAUCUUUAGAAUCAGUCCCAAUCAUAAAAGAUGACUUUUGCACAAGGUCAAACCCCUCCAAGAGUUAAGUUUAUGAAAUUAUUUUGGCAGGCACUGGACAACUUCCAGAUCUUUUUCCUAGAACAUUAAACCAUAGUGACUCCAGUCGAGGGGAAAAUGUACUCAUGAAUGAUCCUUGCUACACCUUUGGAAAUAGCAUACAGUUCCUCCUGCUGCUGACUGGCUUGCAUGGUGAGGUAAUAUGGCAUAGCUUUUAGAGAACUAAGUACUGUUAUCAAUGAAAGUAACCAACUAUGUUUAGAAGACAAACAUCUUAUAAACACCAACUGCACAGGACUGCUGAAAGGUAUAGGUAAUGUUGCCUGUCUUGCUGCCUAAUCCAUUCAAAGAGGAAGCCAUAAUUUGGUCUCAUGUAGCUCUGUGGUCCUCAGAUGGAAAGCAUAAUAGAUUCAUAUAGUAUUAUUUAUAAAACAUGUUGUCUAUAAAUAGAAAUAUCAGUUUACAUUUAAAUUACUUUUGCCAAACAACUUCUUCAGCAUGUUAUGAAUGAUGAAUAGCUUUUGGGAUUUAGAUCCCAAGGCUGGUAAAGUAUGUGCAGGAGUUUUGAACAUACUGUACCCAUCACUUUUCCGUCAGUCCUUCCCUGUCACCAUGUGAUUGUGAUAAUAUAUGCAUCACAUUUUAUGAUACCGCACUUUGGAAAAAAAAGGUUUAUUUACAAGUUGCAUUCAGUGUCAUUCCCACAAAUGAUUAAGUCCUAAUUAAGCAAUGAUUUUUCUGAGUGAUUUUUGCAAAAAAGGGAAACAAAAAUUGGCUGCAUGUUUUCAGCAAUUUUUGCAUGAAGAGUAGAUCAAAAUUAAGUAAUUUGUUUUCUUUGAUACUGUGGCAGAGCACAGGGUGUCUCUGCCACUUUAAGGGCCUGGAGCUGGCAGCCUCCAGGUGCCUGAUUAGGGCAGCCAUUUUGAGGCUUAGGCUGCAUAUAUAAACAAGGCAGUUUGGCUGCAGGAGGCCAGGCAGCAACAUUGCCUGGCUGUAGGGUUGCUGUGAAUGACCCUGGAGGUAAGGGGGAGCUGCAAGGGGUUGGCAAGGAGCCUCCUGGUCCUGGGCAUGACCUGAAACUGCACCCUGCCGGGAGUGGGUGGUCUGGUGGGGCUCUCAGUGGCGCAGGAGCCCCCAGGAAAUACCAGGCCAGUGAUCACCCCAGUGAAAGGCGGGUCGGGGCGCCUUAACCCCUAGCUCCCACCACCACCGGGUGGGUGACCCUGCAUAUGUGGAGGGGCCCAGAGGGCGGACCCCAAGAGAGUGAUUGAUUACCGGGCAUGAUGCUGCGGUGACCCCGGGAAAAAGGGGGUAGUAGUGCGAUGAGCCCGAAGAGAGAGUGAGGGGCUAGAGACCCAGCCUGAAGGGGAUAGUACCCUCGACUGGCACAUGCUGGGGCCAGGACCACAAGGGUCAAAAGGGCCGGGGGCCCACCGCGAGGGACGCCCAAGAGCCAGGGGCCUGAGGUCCCAACUGGCCUUGAGGUGGGCCAGGGCAAGAGGCCGAAGGUUCCGGGUAAACCACACGCGAGAGGGGAACAUGGCUUCGGGGGGGGCGAGGUAGCCUGGAUGACAGCAGAGUGGCCGCCUGAUAGGAAGGAUCAGAGAGGGGUCCUGUUAGGACGAUUCUGGGGCCCAGUAUGGGGCCGGUGAUUAGGAACACCAUGAUGCCAUCUGCGAGGCUUGGGCUGUGGUAUUAGGGGAGGUCAGAGCCGCAGAGCACCCCUUGGCAUCGGGGCAUUACAAUGAGUAGCCUCCUGCUUAAUUGACAUCGAUAUGCGAAUCAAUUAUCAUCAAAGGCGUGGCAGGUGAGAUAAGUGGGCGGUUGCCCAGAGACAGGUGGGCGGGCCACAAAGAGCUUGGCCCUGAGUAGGCCUCCUGUCACGGUGACAGGCAGGCAGGCCACAGAGUUCGGCCCCAGGAGGCCCCCCUGUCACAGAUACAAUUCCCAAAUUGCUGUAGGUUGCUAAGAACACAAGUCCCACUGAAAGCUGAUGGAUGUGUGCUCCAAAAUCCUUUCUCUGGGAAAGCUCCACCUUUAUUUAUGUGGGAGAUGCACUGAUGGAAAGAUGUAGAGAAGUUGGGCCAAUGGAACCGAAUCACCCAAACUGACAAUGAACCUACUUUUAAGAAGAAUUAAAUAUUAUGCUGUAUAUUUAGACUGCAUUGGAAAGGCUUUUGGAGUGAUGUUUGUUUGGAGUUGUUAUAAUUGAGGACUAGGUGUUCUUUUUUUCCUUUAGCUUCUCCUUGUUCAAGUUUAAAAGUGGAUAUACAGAAACCCAUGCUUGUGUUUUGCACAUAUAAUCUCCUGUAAAGUUCAGACAAGGUUCCUUGGGUGAAUUUGAUAUCUUUUAUUAGACCAACCCAAAUGGUUGGAGAAUAGUUAUUAAG
Molecule: long non-coding RNA, 3537 nt
Organism: Alligator mississippiensis (American alligator)
Lineage: Eukaryota; Metazoa; Chordata; Crocodylia; Alligatoridae
Exons: 7
Source: RefSeq, a predicted model, not a curated record